UACGGGGGGGGCAAGCGUUGUUCGGAAUUACUGGGCGUAAAGGGCUCGUAGGCGGCCAACUCAGUCGGACGUGAAAUCCCUCGGCUUAACCGGGGAACGGCGUCCGAUACUGGAUGGCUUGAGUCCGAGAGAGGGAUGCGGAAUUCCAGGUGUAGCGGUGAAAUGCGUAGAUAUCUGGAGGAACACCGGUGGCGAAGGCGGCAUCCUGGAUUGGUACUGACGCUGAGGAGCGAAAGCCAGGGGAGCAAACGGG
RNAcentral lists this ribosomal RNA (253 nucleotides) under uncultured bacterium. Its description in RNAcentral is "partial 16S ribosomal RNA". It matches the Rfam family "Bacterial small subunit ribosomal RNA", at positions 524 to 776 of the family's 1533-position model. The record is from RNAcentral.